Ribosomal RNA from Lupinus angustifolius (narrow-leaved blue lupine), 119 nucleotides. The record is from Rfam. NCBI's taxonomy places the organism in Eukaryota, Viridiplantae, Streptophyta, Magnoliopsida, Fabales, Fabaceae.
AGGUGCGAUCAUACUAGCAAUAAUAAAUCGGAUCCCAUCAGAACUCUGCAGUGAAGCAUGCUUGGGUGAGAGUAGUACUAGGAUGAGUGACAUCCUGGAAAGUCCUCGUGUUGCACCUC